This 256-nucleotide unclassified non-coding RNA is filed under the name Hevea brasiliensis (rubber tree). The record is from RNAcentral. Lineage: Eukaryota; Viridiplantae; Streptophyta; Magnoliopsida; Malpighiales; Euphorbiaceae.
UGGGCUUCAACAAAACCUUUCUUCUCCAAGUACUCAGGCUUCAAAUUCCCCCAUGGAUUCCUCCCACUGCCAUAACUAGGAAGAUUCAAAGUCACUAUAGACCGAACACUUGAAGGUAUAGGGACUUGCUCCCACUUUGAGCUAUUGACCUUCUUGACAUAUAAGCGCAGAAUGUUAUUUAAUCCCCUUAAACCAGGAUCACUGCUACAAGGUGCAAAGAACCAGCCUUGCUUGCAACUAUAUCCUGAGUAAAUCA